Molecule: ribosomal RNA, 519 nt
Filed under: uncultured Halobacteriales archaeon
Lineage: Archaea; Methanobacteriati; Methanobacteriota; Halobacteria; Halobacteriales
Description: bacterial SSU rRNA
Rfam family: Archaeal small subunit ribosomal RNA
Source: RNAcentral
GUACGAGGUUUCUGCAAUACACGAAAGUGUGACAGGGGAAUCCAAAGUGCUUAAGCAAUAGCUUAGGCUUUUGCGGAGUGUAAAUAGCUCCGAGAAUAAGUGGUGGGUAAGACGGGUGCCAGCAGCCGCGGUAACCCCCGCGCCACGAGUGGCAAUCGGCAUUAUUGGGUCUAAAGCGUCCGUAGUCGGCUGUGUAAAUCUUCCGUGAAAUCGUCUCGCUCAACGGGACGGCGUGCGGAAGACACUGCGCGGCUCGGGACCAGAAGGUGCAAGAGGUAUUCCCGGGGUAGCGGUAAAAUGCGAUAAUCCUGGGAGGACCACCGAUGGCGAAGGCAUCUUGCAAGGAUGGGUCCGACGAUGAGGGACGAAAGCCAGGGGAGCAAAACGGAUUAGAUACCCGAGUAGUCCUGGCUGUAAACGCUGCGAGCUAGGUGUUGCACUUCCCUCGUGGAAGUGCAGUAUCGUAGAGAAGUCGUUAAGCUCGCCACCUGGGAAGUACGGUCGCAAGGCUGAAACGUU